RNAcentral lists this microRNA precursor (100 nucleotides) under Myotis lucifugus (little brown bat). RNAcentral describes it as "miRNA (ENSMLUG00000030483.1)". Lineage: Eukaryota; Metazoa; Chordata; Mammalia; Chiroptera; Vespertilionidae. The record is from RNAcentral.
CGCCGCCGCCGCGCUGGGCUGGGCUGGGCUGGGCUCGCACUGGCGGGAGCCGCGCGCUCCGCCGUCGGCACCUCUCCUCUCCAGAGCGCUCCGUCCCGCU